AGCGGCAAAAGCUCAAAUUUGAAAUCUGGUACCUUUCGGUGCUCGAGUUGUAAUUUGGAGAGGCAACUUCGGAGAGGGCGUUGGCCUAAGUUCCUUGGAACAGGACGUCACAGAGGGUGAGAAUCCCGUGCUUGACCGACUGUCCCUCUUCAUGUGAAGUGUCUUCGACGAGUCGAGUUGUUUGGGAAUGCAGCUCAAAAUGGGUGGUAAACUCCAUCUAAGGCUAAAUAUUGGCGAGAGACCGAUAGCGCACAAGUAGAGUGAUCGAAAGAUGAAAAGCACUUUGAAAAGAGAGUUAAAAAGUACGUGAAAUUGUUGAAAGGGAAGCGCUUGAGACCAGACUCGGUGAUUGGUGAUCAGCGGUUGCUUCUGCUCCGUGCACUUGCCUUUUACCGGGCCAGCAUCANUUACGGCGGUGGGAUAAAGGUCUAGGGAAUGUGGCUCCCUUCGGGGAGUGUUAUAGCCCUGGACGUAAUGCCACCUGUUGUGACUGAGGACCGCGCUUCGGCUAGGAUGCUGGCAUAAUGGUCUUCAGCGACCCGUCU
Molecule: ribosomal RNA, 545 nt
Filed under: Pseudoplectania episphagnum
Lineage: Eukaryota; Fungi; Ascomycota; Pezizomycetes; Pezizales; Sarcosomataceae
Description: partial large subunit ribosomal RNA
Rfam family: Eukaryotic large subunit ribosomal RNA
Source: RNAcentral